This 815-nucleotide ribosomal RNA is filed under the name uncultured bacterium. RNAcentral's name for it is "bacterial SSU rRNA". It matches the Rfam family "Bacterial small subunit ribosomal RNA", at positions 8 to 796 of the family's 1533-position model. The record is from RNAcentral.
AGAGUUUGAUCAUGGCUCAGAACGAACGCUGGCGGCGUGGAUAAGACAUGCAAGUCGAGCGCUGAUUUCAGGGUAGCAAUAUUCUGAGGUCGGAGCGGCGCAAGGGUGCGUAACACGUGGGUAAUCUGCCAUGAAGUUCGGGAUAACUUGCUGAAAGGCGAGCUAAUACCGGAUGUGACAACCGAGAGGCAUCUUUUGGUUGUUAAAGUUGGGGACCGUAAGGCCUGACGCUUCUUGAUGAACCCGCGGCCUAUCAGCUAGUUGGUGAGGUAACGGCCCACCAAGGCUAAGACGGGUAGCUGGUCUGAGAGGACGACCAGCCACACUGGAACUGAGACACGGUCCAGACACCUACGGGUGGCAGCAGUCGAGAAUUUUUCACAAUGGGCGCAAGCCUGAUGGAGCGACGCCGCGUGGGGGAUGAAUGGCUUCGGCCCGUAAACCCCUGUCAUUCGCGAUCAAACGUUAUUAUUUAAAAGAUGAUGACCUGAUAGUAGCGGAAGAGGAAGGGACGGCUAACUCUGUGCCAGCAGCCGCGGUAAUACAGAGGUCCCAAGCGUUGUUCGGAUUCACUGGGCGUAAAGGGUGCGUAGGUGGUGAGGUAAGUCGGAUGUGAAAGCUCGGAGCUCAACUCCGAAAUGGCAUUGGAAACUACCUUGCUCGAGGGUUGGAGGGGGGACUGGAAUACUUGGUGUAGCAGUGAAAUGCGUAGAUAUCAAGUGGAACACCAGUGGCGAAGGCGAGUCCCUGGANNACUCCUGACACUAAGGCACGAAAGCUAGGGGAGCAAACAGGAUUAGAUACCCUAGUAGUCC